AAUGGACUGACUGUCUUGUAACGAGC
RNAcentral lists this non-coding RNA (26 nucleotides) under Mus musculus (house mouse). Lineage: Eukaryota; Metazoa; Chordata; Mammalia; Rodentia; Muridae. The record is from RNAcentral.